This 839-nucleotide unclassified non-coding RNA is filed under the name Hevea brasiliensis (rubber tree). Lineage: Eukaryota; Viridiplantae; Streptophyta; Magnoliopsida; Malpighiales; Euphorbiaceae. The record is from RNAcentral.
AAAAAUUAGUUAUACAGUCUUAGCCCAAUAACAGAAGCUCAGUUACAAAGUACCGCUAAACCCAGAUAAAAAUAAGCCCAAACCUUAUAAAACAAAACCCUAAUCUAUUCGGGUAAUCCAAAAGAAAUGGGCAGAAACCAAAUCUCAAUGAUGUAGUGCCGUUGGAAAAAAGAAAGGAGACCAAAUGGAGCAUAGGGGCAAAGCUCUUUUGACCAGAGGAUGAGGAGACGGCGAUGAAGCUCGGAGAAAUCCUGCAGAACGAUUGCCCAUACGUCAUCACAAAAGGUAAAAACAUAUAACCAAGCAGAAAAGCCAUGAAGCACCAGAGCAUGGAGAACAUAUAACCCAGAUCGCCAUUGCAUGCAAGACUAACAGCUCUCAGAACGUGAUGGGGCAAAGCUCUAAACUAUAACAACAGUUUUGGGGGUUGGCCAUGAGAGGUAGUGCCAGCUAGAGACCCGUGAGGUGCCAUCAUCUCCUAAAACAUAUCCCCCUCUCAGAGCAAGAAGCGAAGCACAUAUGGAGUUUCCACCUACAUGCAAGAACAAACAACACAACUCAAUUGUAGACCAAUCGAAGUCCUCUCUAAGCAGUCACGGGUCUACCACCAAAAUCUCUUACUCAUAACUUUAUUUAUGGACAAACCCCAUCCAGAGAGGGGAGGACACAACCCACGUCUUGGAUAAGGGAGGAAGUCCCUCCUGCCUAGAUGGGACAGAGGGAACCACUGAACGACAGUAGCAGAGAUCGAAACGCCUCAAAUGAAGAAGCUUCGAAUAGGGGAAGAGUUUUUGCUUUUCUUUGUAGAAAAUUGCUUUUCAACAGUUAUAUGGGUAUGC